This 169-nucleotide microRNA precursor is filed under the name Dichanthelium oligosanthes. RNAcentral describes it as "MIR2118 microRNA precursor family". It matches the Rfam family "MIR2118 microRNA precursor family". The record is from Rfam by way of RNAcentral. Lineage: Eukaryota; Viridiplantae; Streptophyta; Magnoliopsida; Poales; Poaceae.
GGCCUAGGGAAAAGGAAAAAAACUAUCUAAGAGCACUAGGGAUAGGAACAUGAAGGAAAGCAUAACCUCUAUUCCAUCUCUGGCAUUGGGGAUGGAGAUUUGGUUUAAUGUUUUCCUGAUGCCUCCUAUUCCUAAGGCCCUUAGGUUCUCCUUCCCUUUCCUUAUGGCU